UACGUAGGGUCCGAGCGUUGUCCGGAAUUAUUGGGCGUAAAGAGCUCGUAGGCGGUUUGUCGCGUCUGCUGUGAAAUCCCGAGGCUCAACCUCGGGUCUGCAGUGGGUACGGGCAGACUGGAGUGCGGUAGGGGAGAAUGGAAUUCCUGGUGUAGCGGUGAAAUGCGCAGAUAUCAGGAGGAACACCGGUGGCGAAGGCGGUUCUCUGGGCAUUACCUGACGCUGAGGAGCGAAAGUGUGGGGAGCGAACAGG
Molecule: ribosomal RNA, 253 nt
Filed under: uncultured bacterium
Lineage: Bacteria
Description: partial 16S ribosomal RNA
Rfam family: Bacterial small subunit ribosomal RNA
Source: RNAcentral